GACGAACGCUGGCGGCGUGCUUAACACAUGCAAGUCGAACGGAAAGGCCCUGCUUUUGUGGGGUGCUCGAGUGGCGAACGGGUGAGUAACACGUGAGUAACCUGCCCUUGACUUUGGGAUAACUUCAGGAAACUGGGGCUAAUACCGGAUAGGAGCUCCUGCUGCAUGGUGGGGGUUGGAAAGUUUCGGCGGUUGGGGAUGGACUCGCGGCUUAUCAGCUUGUUGGUGGGGUAGUGGCUUACCAAGGCUUUGACGGGUAGCCGGCCUGAGAGGGUGACCGGCCACAUUGGGACUGAGAUACGGCCCAGACUCCUACGGGAGGCAGCAGUGGGGAAUAUUGCACAAUGGGCCGAAGCCUGAUGAAGCAACGCCGCGUGCGGGAUGACGGCCUUCGGGUUGUAAACCGCUUUCGCCUGUGACGAAGCGUGAGUGACGGUAAUGGGUAAAGAAGCACCGGCUAACUACGUG
RNAcentral lists this ribosomal RNA (468 nucleotides) under uncultured bacterium. RNAcentral describes it as "partial 16S ribosomal RNA". It matches the Rfam family "Bacterial small subunit ribosomal RNA", at positions 28 to 507 of the family's 1533-position model. The record is from RNAcentral.